This 176-nucleotide ribosomal RNA is filed under the name uncultured Arthrobacter sp. RNAcentral's name for it is "partial 16S ribosomal RNA". It matches the Rfam family "Bacterial small subunit ribosomal RNA", at positions 338 to 524 of the family's 1533-position model. Lineage: Bacteria; Bacillati; Actinomycetota; Actinomycetes; Micrococcales; Micrococcaceae. The record is from RNAcentral.
CCUACGGGAGGCAGCAGUGGGGAAUAUUGCACAAUGGGCGAAAGCCUGAUGCAGCGACGCCGCGUGAGGGAUGACGGCCUUCGGGUUGUAAACCUCUUUCAGUAGGGAAGAAGCCGCAAGGUGACGGUACCUGCAGAAGAAGCGCCGGCUAACUACGUGCCAGCAGCCGCGGUAAU